This 85-nucleotide transfer RNA is filed under the name Vibrio parahaemolyticus. RNAcentral's name for it is "tRNA-Leu". It matches the Rfam family "tRNA". From Rfam's summary of the family: Transfer RNA (tRNA) molecules are approximately 80 nucleotides in length. The record is from RNAcentral. Lineage: Bacteria; Pseudomonadati; Pseudomonadota; Gammaproteobacteria; Vibrionales; Vibrionaceae.
GUGGAAGUGGCGGAAUUGGUAGACGCACCAGAUUUAGGUUCUGGCGCCGCAAGGUGUGAGAGUUCAAGUCUCUCCUUCCGCACCA